AUGAAUAAAUUGGUCAAGUUGUUGCUGGUUCUUCGGGACAUGUGCACACUUGCCACCAUUUUAACCACCUGUGCACCUUUUGUAGACUGUAGAAACGUUUCUCGAGGCAACUCGGAUUUAGGACUGCUGUGCGCAAGCCGGCUGUUCUUGUGUUUCUCAGUUUAUGUUUAUAUAUACUCCUAAUGUAUGUAUUGGAAUGAAUUGCUAGGCCUUUAGUGCCUUUAAAUUAAAUA
RNAcentral lists this unclassified non-coding RNA (233 nucleotides) under uncultured fungus. Its description in RNAcentral is "sequence contains ITS1, 5.8S rRNA gene". The record is from RNAcentral. RNAcentral also lists the same sequence under 1 other name. Lineage: Eukaryota; Fungi.